UUUGGCUUCAUGAAUCGGGGCAAAAUGGCCCCUAUGAGUAAAAUACUUGUCUUUUUGUGAAAGUAAAUGCAUAUUCAUACUAGAUAGAAUUAUUAUGAAUUUUGAAACACUUAAAAUGCAUGCCUUAUGUAUCACAAAAAUUUCACUAUACAGUAGAGCUAUAUGAGUAGACUGCAUGCAUGUGGAAAAGUGUUUACAUUUGCAAGUUGAUAACAUAUCUCUUACGAAGAUAAUGACUUGAAAUAUGUACCUUGGAACGUACGUAUUAUGCUUGGACAAAGAGGACAAAGUGUCAUAAAGGGGCACUCGAAACUAGCAAACUAUGAAACUGCAACAUAGAGACAUAUUGAUAGGCCAUUGUACAUCUGCUAUAAUCUAUGUUAGAGACAUGAUGACAUAGGGAUAGGCCAUUGAGAUAUUUGUUAUAUUCCAUGUUUUUAGACAUGAGGACUUGGUACUUGAGACAGAUCAUUGCUUGCUUGCCAUUGUGCUCAUUCGCACAUGCUUGUGAGGGUCGCUCCCUACAAGCCGGCACUCCGGAGAUAGCCAUCGCGACAUAUGCUCGCCGUAAGGGAUUGGGCGCCGAAAUGGGAUGCCGUGGGGGAGGCUCAUUCCUAGAGUGGGGAUGUUGACUACCACGGGGCCAUUAGGCACGGCGUAGGCCAGACAGCCUUCGGGUGGGUCUUAUAUGAUUGGAACUUAGUGACGUGCUAUGUGAACUUUAAAACUAUUAAAGUGUCAAGUGGACUUGGACUAGAAUAGUAAACAAUGACAUUUUACUAUUUAGCUUGUGGACAUCAUGAUAGUUGUAGACUUAUACUUCAUGUACAGUUGCUUUUAUACUUAUGCCAUCCAUGCUAAGUAGAGAUAUCAUGUCGUAGUAAGUUACAUUUUUACUUACUUUUCGCUUUACUGCCUUAUUGUUACUCACCCUUUUCUUUUCAGUUUUUGGGCCUAGUGGUGCAUUCACUGAAGCCAGUAAUUGCCCACUGGAAACUAUUAUUUAAUAGUUCUCACGCCCUCUGUUUUAUGUUUCCCUUUCAGAGCCCUCUGCACCGGCGGAGGCACGGGACCGCGGCAAGGGGAUCGCUAGCUAGAUAGCGAGGAUUCACUUUUACUCUUAGGUGGUUUUCCCUCUUUUUAUGUUUUGGGAGAGCGAGGGAUUUUGUUUACCAUGUAUAGAGACCGCCUAUGUACUCUUUUAGUUCUUGUAUUUGGGAUUUCUCUUUGUAUUACUUUACAAUUUUACUUAGUGGAUUAUCGCUUAUGUUCUUUCCUCUAUUGUAGAACUUAGUCAUUUAUUAUGCUCUGAUACUCCUAGAUGUCUUUUAUUAUUGCUUUAUUCAUCGUUGUUUUUAGACGCCUUAUAUGUUUUAGACGUAUGGCGGGUCUGUGCACGUGCCGGGCGGGUUUCCGCUGUGCCCCGGGGCGUGACAGAUUAAUUUGGUAUCAGAGCCUAGGGUUGAGUCUUAGUGGACCUAGCAAACCUUAGGCCGGUUGGACUAUAGGAAAUAGGCUCGUGAGAGAUGAGGUCUAUUCGACUUGUAAGUGAAAGUAUCUUGAUUGGGUAUCUUUGAUAACUCUAGAAAGUGGAGUUAAAUUGAAGUGUAUAGCUCCUAACUUCGCGGAGGGUUACGUUGGCGGCCAACAACGUAACAUCGGGAGUUAGUGGUGAAGAAUACUUCCUUACUUUCGCAUGAUUUGGGUAUUGUCUAUUUGAGCGGGGAUGCGAUAGCAUGAGCUUUACUAACUUGCGCUUUUAUGAUGUUGUAGUGCGAUGCCGAUUACACGCUCUCAAUCCGCUGGAGUUGAUACUGCGGCAAACCUGGAGGAGGUCGAGACCUCCGCUACCUCCGGAUUCGGCAAGGUCCGCGAGUUGAGGGGCCAGCUUGCGGCCCUCACUGAUAUGGUGACCCAGCAAACUGAGGCGGCGCGCCGACAGGAGGCGCGGAUGAAGCGCCUCGAGGACCUUCUUCUGCAGCAGGCGGCAGCUUCUAGGGAGACUCAGGCCCCUACACCGCCAGCACCAGUUGUGGACAUCGCGCCGAGAGCGCCGUCCCCUGCGCCUAGUUCGUCGCGUGCAGCGCCCGUAGCCGCGCCUUAGGAGGAGGGUUUGGCGGCGCCACCUGUUCGGGCACCCCCGAUUGGAGCAGCAUUCCCUACAUUGGUCGAGGGGGCGGAGCGAGAUAGACUGAUGGAGCGCCUCAAUGAGUUUAGGAGGUGCAGCCCCCGAGUAUUCGACGGCGAGAAGGUCGACCACUGGAUCGUGGAGAAGUGGUUGAUGCAUAUGGAGAAGCUCUUCCGCGACACCUUCGUGGAGGAGAGGGACAGAGUUUGGCUUGCCACUCACCACUUGGACGGCGAGGCUUACCGCUGGUGGUUGGAUCUCCAGGAGUACCCCAGCACUGACUUGGCGGCUAUUACUUGGACGAGGUUCAAGGAACUUCUGUUGGUGCACUACUUCCCGACUAGUGUCAAGCGGAAGAUGGAGCAGGACUUGCGCAACUUGCGCCAAGGUGAUCGUACCGUAGCCGAGUACGAGAGGGAGUUCUCUCGGCUUUUGCACUGCGUGCCCUUUGUCGUGCGGGACGACGAGGACAAGGCCCGUAUCUUCGAGCGAGGAUUGCGACCUUCGAUCUACCGGUUUGUGCAAUCCUCCAACCUCCAAACCUACCGGGAGGUGGUGGAUCGCGCGCUUAUCGUGGAGAGCGGCGCGGCAGAGGUACAGGAGCGGCGUGAGGCCAUGGACAAAGGCAAGGCCAAGAGGCCUGCGGCUGAGGGUGCGAGCCAGACGCACUCUAGGAGGCCGCCGAAGCAUCCGAAGAGCCAGCAGCGUGGACGCGGCUCAGCAGCACAGCGAGGGGGUUAUGACCGACGCCGGCCCUCCCCGUGUGUGAUCUGUGGUGGACCUCAUCACCCACCGCAGUGUCCACAGUGGGCGGGCAGGUGCUUCCAGUGUGGCCAGGGAGGGCCACGUGCGGACUGAGUGCCCGAGGGGUUCUUCACCGGCACCGUCGACUGCAUCGGCACCGACUCUACCAGCCGCCAGCCACGGGACUCCAUCGGCGCAGUACCAGCCUGGGCGGCCAUCCGUCCAACGGCAGAGCGAGGGUUUUCGACAGGCCCCGAGCGGGCGCAUGUAUGCCGCUCAGACCGAGGAGGCGGCAGCAGCCGAGGAUGUGGUCGCAGGUAUCAUUUUACUUGAUGGCAUUAAAGUUCGUGCAUUAUUUGAUACCGGUGCAUCACAUUCAUUCAUAGAUCGGCUAUUUGCCGAGUUGCAUGGCAUCCCGUUAGUUUCCUUAUUGCAUCCGGGACAUGUUGUAGUACCCGACCACGUUUUGGAUAUUAAAGAGUAUAGCCCCAGUUGCCCUAUUCGGGUGGGAGAUUGGGUUAUGCCCGUGGAUUUGCUAGCUCUGCGUAAGCUAGGGGACUUCGAUGUGGUCUUAGGCAUGGAUUGGUUAACCAAGUAUGAUGCCACGAUUGAUUGCAAGAAUCGCACGGUUACUUUUAGAGAACCGGGACAAGUUGAGAUGAUAUUUAGAGGAUGCCAGAGUUCGCUUUUUGCGAUGACGAUCAGCUCGUCUCGAGCCAGGCAGCUGAUCAGCAGAGGUUGUGUAGCCUACUUGGCUAGUGUUGUGUUGAGGGGCGAGGGUGAUACCCCUAGGAUUGAGGAUAUCCCGGUGGUGCGGGAGUUUUGUGACGUGUUUCCAGCUGAGCUACCGGGUAUGCCACCCGAUAGGGAGAUCGAGUUUGUGGUAGAUCUCGUCCCUGGGACUACUCCAAUCUCGAAAGCGCCCUAUAGGAUGGCACCGGCGGAGCUGAAGGAGCUGAGGGCACAGCUGCAGGAUCUUCUGGAUAAAGGCUUCAUUCGACCGAGCGUCUCGCCUUGGGGGACACCCUUUUUAUUCGUCAAAAAGAAAGACGGAUCGCUACGCCUAUGUGUGGACUAUCGUGAACUUCAUAAAGUCACGAUCAAGAAUAAGUAUCCGUUGCCGAGGAUCGACGACCUGUUUGAUCAGCUACAGGGAUCGUGUGUGUAUUCCAAGAUAGACUUGCAGUCGGGAUACCACCAAUUGAAGAUCAAAUCCGAGGAUGUAUCGAAGAUGGCUUUUAGAACACGGUAUGGACAUUAUGAGUUUACUGUUAUGCCGUUUGGGCUUACUAACGCCCCGGCAGCUUUUAUGGAUCUAAUGAACCGUGUUUUCAAGCCUUAUCUAGACAGGUUCGUCGUGGUGUUUAUCGACGACAUUUUGGUCUACUCCCGAAGUGAUGUGGAUCACGAGGAACACUUAAGGAUUGUGCUUCAAGUACUUCGAGAAAAGGAGCUUUAUGCCAAGUUGAAGAAAUGUGAAUUUUGGCUUCGAGAGGUAGCCUUCCUUGGACACUUGAUUUCAAGGUCAGGUAUAGCCGUGGAUCCCAAGAAGAUUGAAGCAAUCAAGGAUUGGCCGAGACCGACGAGCGUCACGGAGAUACGGAGUUUCCUUGGAUUUGCCGGCUACUACUAGAGAUUUGUUGAGGGAUUUGCUAAGUUAUCUACUCCCCUCACGAGGCUCACGUAUAAAGGAGUCAAGUUUAUUUGGAAUGAUGCGUGCAAGAGAAGCUUCCAAGAGUUGAAGCAGAGAUUGACGACCGCCCCGAUCUUGACCCUACCAGUAGCUGGAGCAGGGUAUGUGGUUUAUAGUGAUGCUUCACUUAAUGGAUUGGGCUGUGUAUUUGUAACAUACCACGUCCCUCGUAAAUCGUGCCGAGUUCCGUCGAAAUGAGCGGAACCCGGAGUGGAGCGAGUUAGCAUGGACCCUAGGAGCAUUAGAGUCCAUAAAUGGAGCUAAAGGGACCCGAGAGAGCAAAUCUGAAAAUCUGGCUAAGUCCCAGAUUUCGAGCUCUCGGGGACCGGUCCCUGAAGGAGAGACCGGUCCCCGUACGCGUAGCCUGCCAGGAAGUCCUGAGGCAACCGGUCCCUGGUGGUGAGACCGGUCCUCGGGAGACCGGUCCUGGAGAGGCAGACCGGUCCCUCACUGCGCAGCAGCUGAAAAACCCGAAAAUUUGGCUAAGUCCUGAAAACCCCACGUUCGGGAACCGGUCCCUGGUCGGGGAGACCGGUCCCCGAAAGCGAAAAAUGCCCAGUCUGGGCAGAUCAUGGGAAAUAAGUGGAGGGGCUUAAGUGCAAUUGUUAUAACACUUUAUAUGGGCCAUCCCCUCUCUCCCACAGCCAUUUCCCUCCUCCUCUCUCAUUUUCUCUCUUUUUCUCUCUAGAACUCCUCUAGAACUUGGAGAAGAAGAAGAAGAACUUGGAGAAGAAGGUGGAUUUGGUGUUUUGGAGGUUCUAGGAGCUCUCCAACAAGAAGAGUCUUGGUGGAGCUUGGACUAGAGGUGAGUUCUUGCAAGACUUCCUCUAGGGUUUGGGUUUUAACCUAAGGAUUUGGAGCUUUGUGCUCCUUAGAGGCUUUAGAGGCUCUUUUGAGCCAUGGAUGCCAUGGUACACAUGAGAGCUCAAGGUGCUCUCAUGGUGAAUCCUUGGAAGUUGAGUUAGAAGCCCUAGGGAUGGUUCUAAAGGUUUAGAAACCUUAAUAGAGAGCUUCUUAUGUGAUCCUAAGCUAUCUUUUGCUUAGUAACAAGAUCAAUCCAAGAGAAAACCCUAGGUGACAUUGUUAGGGCUUGGAAAUUAGGGCUUUUGCCCUAGGAUUUUUCGGGGACGAAUUGACCCCGUAGAAACCUAAUUGGGGGUGCCCUAAACGCGUGGGACAACUCCGUUUGACAUUACGAAAAUGUUAUAAUAUAGUUCAUGUACAAAAGGCCUAAUAUGGCACUAUUUUGGUUAUAGGGCGCGGAAUCGGCUUUCGUAAAGUUCGGGGGUCGUCACAUUCCACACCCACACGAUUAUUAGAGGUGGGGGGUGCACGCCGGAAUCGUUGGAUUCCCUUCUAUGUCUGUUUCACUUUUGUUGAGCAUUUUAUUAUAUAGCCAUUCAUGCAUAGUAGGGAAAUCUUACAUGUGACUAGAGACUAGAAUUUCAAUAUUAUGCUUCUUAUGUAGAUGGAUAUAGUGAUUGAACAAGAACCGAAAUGGACAUGUAUGAUUGAACCCGAGAGAUGUGUGAAUGUGAGACUUGGACUUGACCAUAGUAAACAAAGGUGACAUUGACUAUAGAGACAAGAUUGCCAUUGACGAAAAUGACCAGAAAGUGACAUGAACAAAUAGGUAGGAANCGGGAUCGCGGCAAGGGUGUCGCAUAGCUAGCUCGCGGAGAGUUCUUUUGCCUAGGUGGUUUACUCCUCCAUUUUAUAUUUUGAGAGAGUGUGAGGCUUUUGUAUCCAUGUAUAGAGACCACCUGUGUACCUACCUAUAGCACUUGUAUUUGGGAUCCCCAUUGUACUUACUUUAUGUUUUGUUUAGUGGAUUUACAGUUUUAACUUUAUCCCUUGUUGUAGCAUUUAGACUUUUAUUAUGCUCUGAUACUACUAGAUGUCUUGUAUUAUUGCUUUUAUUAUUGUUGUUUUUAGACGCCUUAUAUGUUGUAGACAUAUGGCGGGUCUGGGCACGCGCCGGGCGGGCUUCCGCUGGGUCCCGGGGCGUGACAAACACCCCCAUCGCCUCCGCCUCCAGAUCCGAAUCCCCCCUUCCUCGAACGUGAUCUCCACCAUCGCCGACCUCAUCUCCCGCGUCGCCAUUGCCGCGCGGUUCUUCUCCGACUCCCGCGCCAGCUCCAGGAGCCGCCGCACCACUGCAACCCUCGCCGCCACCGAUGAUGACGACGAUGACGCGGGUUUGGCCUCGGAAAGUAGGAGGUGGAGGAGGGAGGGGUCGGCAGGUUGCUUAGGGGUGGGGAUGUGCUAGCCGAGGGGGAGGGGUAGGGGCGAGGAAGGUCUGGAGUCGGCGCUGGGAGGUGUCCAUCUCCGGCAGGAAGAAGAAAAAGAAGAGGAGAAAAAAAAACAAGAAAAGAAAUAGUGCAAAUUUUUUCUAAAUGGUGCAAUCUUGGCCAAAAGAGUGUAAAGUCUAUUUUAAAAGAAUGCAAUUUCUAUAUGAAAUAGUGCAAUUUUCAUUAAAACAGAGCAAUUUUUUUUUAAAACAGUGUAAAUUUUUUUUGAGAGUGCAAUUUCAUCAUCUUCUUUCUUCUCCUAUAUUUUUUAAUCUUUUCUGUAGGAAAAAAGUAAUUUUUUUUAUUUUUUAUUAUUCUUAUUUUUUUCUAUAAUUUUUUUUUAUCACCACCUCUCCCUUACUUUCUAUCGCAAUCAUCACGACGUCGUCAGUGGCGAUCUCGCCGCCUCCGACGAUGUCUCGGCGUUUCGAUGCGAGGUGGAGGAGAAGAGCCUGCGUCUCGACGUCACCGUGCCCUAGUUGAGAAGAAAGGUAGCGACGCGGCUUCAGCAGGGUCGGAGGCAAGGAGGACUGGAGUGCACGGGGCGGAGGCUAGGCGGGCUGUUCCCGCCUCCGCCUCCGCUGCCUUCUUCGGAGAGAGAAAAAAAGAACGAGAGAAAAAAAAAAAGGAGGAGAGAGAAAAAAUAAUAAGAGUAUUUUGGUCAGUUUGCUGAAAUUUCGGCCUGAAUCUGCAAAAUCGAAAAAAGUGGUCCACUUUUGCAAAAGUCCAAAAUUAGUGAAUUUUUAUGCAAAUUGGCCUUUAAACUUAGGUUAAAUUAUAGAAAAUUUUUCUGUAAAUAUUCGCUUUUUUACUUUUCCUUCAUGACUAUUAAAAAAUCUAUAUGUUGCUUCUUUAAAAUUUCAGAAAUAUUUUCAGAAGGGUACGGCAUUAAUGGAGAGGACAGAAUGACCAAAUUACCCAUACUUCUUUUAUAAGAAGAAAUAACAUUUGUUAAUAUAAUUAUGUUAUUUUGAAGGAUAUUUUUUGUAUAAAUUAUAAAAAAUAGACAGAAUAAUGAUGGAAUCCUANAGCUUUCGCUUCUGUUGUUGCUUGCCCUCGUGCAAGCCUUGUAUAAAUGCUAAUCUCAUUGUUUGAUUGCUUUACUAUACAUGGUUUAGAGCCUUGGACGGGCAGGGGAGGCUCUGUCCGUUCGGCGUCUGUUGGCGUGACCCGAACCCGACCAAAUUGGCGGGGAUUGGGGCGUGACAGUAUUGAUGCAGGAUGGCAAGGUGAUCGCGUAUGCUUCUCGCCAACUGAAGGAAUAUGAAAGGAACUACCCGACGCAUGAUUUGGAGUUGGCUGCCGUGGUGUUCGCAUUGAAGCUAUGGCGCCACUAUCUUUAUGGCGAGCGGUGUGAAGUUUAUACGGAUCACAAGAGCUUGAAAUACCUGUUUACUCAGAAGGAGUUGAACUUAAGGCAGCGCAGAUGGUUGGAGCUACUCAAGGAUUAUGAUCUUACUAUUCUUUACCACACGGGCAAGGCUAACGUGGUGGCGGAUGCGCUAAGUAGGAAAUCGACAGAAAACAUAGCGAUGUUUGUGGUGACCCAACCGCAGUUGAUCGAGCAGAUGAAGCCGUUGGAGUUGGAGGUAGUGACUCCGGAUACACCUUUGAGGUUGAUGACCUUGGUUGUGCAACCUACACUUUUGGAUCGAAUUAAAGAGAAGUAAGCUUCCGAUUUGGAGUUGCAAAAGAUUAAAGGUAAAAUGGUUGAUGGUUGCACCGGUGACUUCUUAGUGGAUGACCGAGGGUUGAUGCGAUUCCGUGGACGGCUAUGUGUACCGGCGGAUGCGGGAAUCAAAGAGGAUAUUCUUCAAGAAGCGCACCGAGCGCCCUAUGCUAUACAUCCGGGAGGUACCAAGAUGUACAAAGACUUGAAGUUGCUUUAUUGGUGGUCCGGGAUGAAAAAGGAUGUUGGCGAGUUUGUAGCUCGUUGUUUAACUUGCCAACAAGUAAAGGCUGAGCACCGAGUUCCCGCGAAAAAACUUCAGAGUUUGCCUAUUCCCGUGUGGAAGUGGGAGAAGAUCACCAUGGACUUUGUGACUGGAUUGCCUCGCUCACAGGCUGGGCAUGAUGCUAUUUGGGUGAUCGUGGAUAGGUUGACGAAGUCGGCGCACUUCAUACCUAUUCAUACGACUUGGACCGGAGAGAAGCUCGCACAAGUGUACCUUGAUGAGAUUGUGCGACUUCAUGGAGUGCCUACGACGAUAGUAUCAGAUCGAGACACUCGGUUUGUGUCUCACUUUUGGAGGAGUCUGCAUGAUGCCUUGGGCACUCGUUUGGAUUUUAGCACUGCUUUCCACCCUCAGAGUGACGGGCAGUCGGAGCGCACCAUUUAGACUUUAGAGGAUAUGCUCCGAGCAUGUGUGAUAGACUUCCGGGGAGGAUAGUCGCAGCAUCUACCCAUGGCGGAGUUUGCUUAUAACAAUAGUUAUCAAGCAAGCAUCAUGAUGGCACCGUUCGAGGCACUGUAUGGACGGAAGUGUAGAUCGCCACUUCAUUGGAGUGAAGUUGGCGAGAGAUUGGCUCUGGGACCAGAUGUGCUCCAGGAAGUCGAGGAUAAAGUUCGAAUUGCUCGGGAGCGACUUUUGACGGCACAGAGUAGACAGAGGAGCUACGCCGACCGACGGCGGCGAGACUUAGAGUUCCAAGUUGGAGACCAUGUUUUCUUGAAGGUCUCGCCGACUAGAGGAAUCAAGAGAUUCGGGAUUCGGGAAAAGUUAAGCCCCCGUUUCAUUGGACCGUAUGAGGUUUUGGAGCGUGUAGGCCCGGUAGCGUAUCAACUUGCCCUACCGCCGAAUCUAUCGGGCGUACACAAUGUCUUUCAUGUAUCGGUCCUUCGGAGGUACAUACAUGACCCAACUCACGUUUUGGAGGCCAUACCAGUGGAGCUGCAUGAUGAUUUGAGCUUUGAGGAGCAACCCUUGAGAAUUUUGGCUCGCGAGGUGAAGAGAUUGCGGAACCGUGAGAUUCCCUACGUGAAGGUACUUUGGAGCAACCACGACGAGCGCGAGGCCACUUGGGAAUUGGAGAGCGCACUGCGGGAGCGCUAUCCCCAUCUUUUUCAGAUGGAGGUUUGAGGUACGUUGCUUUCGAGUUUCGCGGACGAAACUCUUUUUUAGGAGNGAUGAAUAUAAGCACAUAUGAGAUAAGAUUUGCCCCCGCUUGUAUUCUUCGCCUACAAGAAAGAGCUUCCAUCCAAAAAUUCUCUUUUCUUAAAACAAAUACCCUGACUAAAUUCUUUAUCUAAGUUGUACGUUUACAAACAAAACAAAACGAAAAAUAAAUAACAAAAUUCAAUCCGAUUUCAUUUAUUCCAACCGAAAGUAAGUUCGAUGCUAUCGUGAUUUCGUACCAAUCGGAGUAUAAGUACAUGCCGACCAAAGCUAAUCAGACACAAAGAUCCAUUAAUGACUUAGAAUGCACUAAUUAUAUUGCUGAUGUGGCGUUCUCAACCAAUGCAAUUAUUUUUUUGGAAUUCAUCAAUUCCAUCGUGUUUAUCAGAAAAAUAUUUUUAUUUUACCUUUUUCUCAAAGAAAAAGAUAUAAUUGGUUGGUUAUUGAUGAUAUAGUGUAAGUGUGACACAGUAAAUUUUCUGAUCCUUAAAUUCUUUCGUGAGAUCGCCGCUCUUCCACCAUCACUGUCGCUCCGCUCCUGCUCCCCCACCCCUUCACCCAAGCCCGCCGCUCCCCUCACUUGGUCUCACGACCUGACCAACGUGUCCUAACUUUGAAUCGUAAGCACUAACUAUUCCAAAAAUAUGGACUGAUACGACGGCGCAUUCAUCGCACUUAAGGCUUGACCACAACACUCACAGACUUCACAGACUUCGAUCCUGACUCAACUCAUAUGAACAUUAUGUCUAUUAUAAGGCCUCUUGUCGUUAGGUUUAUUAUAAACCGCAAUCACACUUAAAUUAUUAGACUAACCCAACUCAAAUAUUAGCUUCCUGAGCCUACUAUCAUGGAACAAAAAAUUAAGCAUAUUUUAGGCUAUAAUAAACAUAGUUAAUUCGUGAAUUAUUCGCGAUUUAUUGAAAAAACCGAAUAAACCGGUCUGUACACGAUUUAUUUCCAAAAGAUCGAAAUAAUACGUGAAUUUUUGGGUUAGAUUUAUUAUUUGCGAAUAAUUUGCGUAUAUCGAACUAUUCGGCCAAAAAAAUGCACAAAUUUUUGGGAUAAAAUUCCUUUCUGAAUUAUCGCCGGAUUAUUCGCGAAUUAUUGAAAAACUUCAUGACCUUCUGAAAUAUUGGAUCAUGAAAAAGAUGAAGAUGAAGACGAUAAUAAAAUUUGCUAUUAUUUUUUUUUACUUAAUCUAUUUUAUUUUAGGCCAAUUUGCAUAAAGAAUUCAUAAAUUUUAAGCUUUUGCAAAACUGGACCGUCUUUUUUGAUUUUGCAGAUUCGAUCCGAAUUUUCAGCAAACUGACCAAAAUAUCCUUAUUACUUUUUCACUCUCCUCUUUCUCUCUCCUCUUUUUUUCUCUCGUUCAUUUUUUUUCUAUCGCCGAAGAAAGUAGCGGAGGCAGAGGCGGAAGCAGAAAUGGCCCACCUCGCCUCUCACCCUCUCGCCCUCACCCUUGCCCUUGCCCUCGCCCGCGCACCCCCCACCUUCCUCGCCUCCAACCCAACCAAGGCCAUGCCACGACUUUUUUUUUUUCCCUCUCCGACUCUCCUCCACCGUCUCCAACAACGACGCCUCUCUCGCCCUUCCUAGCCCUUCUUGUCCUCUCCCUCUCCCUCCUCCUGUGCCGCCUUCGACGACGACGCAUCAUCGCCGACGCCGACACCAUGGAGGUCGCUGCGGCACUGCAGCCUCGAAGCGGGGGUCUUUAGCGGCGUCGUUGCCGGCGCCGUAGCCGUUGGCAGAGAAGGGUGACAAAAAAAAAUUACAGAAGAAGCAAGAAAAAAAAAAUAAAGAUAAAAAAUUAUAGAAAAAGAAAGAUGAAGAUGAAAUUUCACCAUUAAAAUAAAAUUGUACUGUUUUAAAAAACGUUGCACUAUUAUGAACAUAAGUUGUACUACUUAAGAUGUAAACUACAGUUUUAAGAUAAAAAUUACACUCUUUAAAUAAAAAUUACACUCUUUGAGAGAUAUUUACACUGUUUCUCCUCUUAUUGCACUCUUUCAGAUGUAAACUGCAUCCAUUAAGAUGAAAAUUACACUCUUUAAAUGAAAGUUGCACUCUUUGAGAGAUAUUUAUACUGUUUCUCCUCUUCUUACAUUCUUUGAUAUGUAAACUGUAUCCUUUUAAGAGAUAUUUAUACUGUUUCUCUUCUUGUCAACUAUUUCUCCUCUUGUUACACUAUUUUUUCUCUUAAAGGGUACAGUUUAAGAGAAAAAAUAGUAUAACAAGAGAAAAAAUAGUGCAACAAGAAGAUAAACAGUGCAACAAGAGAAGAAACAGUAUAAAUAUCUCCUAAAGGGGUGCAGUUUACAUCUUAAAGAGUAGAACAAGAGGAGAAACAUUGUAAAUAUCUCUCAUGGAGUGCAACUUUCGUUUAAAGAGUGUAACUUUCAUCUUAAUGGAUACAAUUUACAUCUGAAAGAUGCAAUAAGAGAAAAAACAGUGUAAAUAUCUCCCAAGGAAUGUAAUUUUCGUUUAAAGAGUGUAAUUUUCAUUUUAAAGCUGCAGUUUACAUGUUAAUAGUACAACGUUCUUUCAAAACAGUGCAAUUUUAUUUUAACGGUGCAAUUUCAUCUUCAUUUUUUUUCUAUAAUUUUUUAUUUUUAUUUUUUUUCUUGCUUCUUCUAUAAUUUUUUUUUGUCACCCUUCUCUGCCAGCGCCGGCGACGACGCUGCUAAGGACCCCACACUCCGAGGCUACAGCGCCACAGCGACCUCCACGGUGUCGGCGUCGGCGAAGAUGUGCUUUCGUCGAAGGCGACAAAGAAUGAAGGAAAGGGAGAGAACGAGAAGGGCGAGGAAGGACGAGAAAGGCGUCGUCGUCGGAGACGGUGGAGGAGAGUCGGAGAGGGAAAAAAAAAAAAGUUGCAGCGCGGCCUCGGCGGGGUCGGAGGCGAGGAAGGCGGGUGGUGCACGGGAGAGGGCGAGGGCGAGGGCAAAGGCGAGAGCAUGACGGNGAUAGGAAGGAGAAGAAGAAGGAGAUCAAGAGGAAGGCUUGGAGCACCUCCAUCUCCCUCUCCUCUUCCCAUUGGUGUAGCUCUUGAGGUAAGCUACUAAACCCUAGCUUUGUAAACUUAGGGUUUUGGGUUUUUAUGCUUUGGAAUGGGCCAAAUGGACUCUAGGCAAGCUUCUAAAUAGAUCAAUCCCAUGAUUCUAGGGUUUUAUCGGUGGGUUGCUAUAUGUGCAACCUAGGGCUCCAAAUGGGGGCAUUUUGUAAAGUGUGAGAUUGAUCUCAUUUGAGGCUUUGUAAACCUCAUCGAUAGGUGCCCAAACGCGGGGGCGAAGUCGAUUUCGCGAUUCGUCGAGCGAGCUUGGAUGUAAGGUACCGGACUUCUAAAAUAAUGAAGUUACGGUGUACAUUUGGUUGGAGAGCCAUUUGAAGGGUUCCGGUGAAGUUCGGUGAAGUUCGGGAGAAUCCGGGCGAUUUGGUGUGCGUAGGCGCGGAAAGGGACCCGAAAGGUCAUGUCGGACCAUGAACUAAACCCGGCAUUAGCAGGGAUUAAAAGAUGAUAAAAACAUGCUCGAAAACAUGUUUGGGGAGUCUCGGUUCGAUUUGAAACGAAUCGGAGGUCAAACGAGCGAAAACGGAGCGAAAACGGACCCCGAAAGCUGAAAAAGCUGAAAAUUUGGCUAAGUCUGGAAUGCUGUUUUUCUGGACAUUCGGGGACCGGUCCCUCAAGUCUAGAGACCGGUCCCAGCACCCGAAAAUGGCCCAGUUUGGGCUGUGUGUGACUUAUAUUGUUGAGGGACCUUUGUGCAAUUGUGCCAAGGGUAUAGAGAGGGUUGGGGGCUCAUUUCCUCUCCUUCUCCCUCACACUUUGUAACCUAAACUCUCUCUCUCUCUCUAGAAAGAAAAGAAAGAGAAGAAGAAGAAGAGGAAAGGGAAGGAGAAGGUGGAGGAGAAGGCUUGGAGAAGGAGUUCUACUUCUUCUUCCUCCUCUUUUGGCCAUUGGAGAAGCUUGUUUGAGGUAAGCUUUACACCCUCUAAUGGUAGCUUCUAGUUUAUAAGUUUUUAAGCUCUAGAAAUGGGAUUUAAUGGUGAUUUAGAGAUUGUUAAUCUCAUUUGUUGCAAGAUCUAUAGCUUUAUGUUGCUCUUUGCAACAAUGAGGAGUUAGAGCUCCAAAUGAGAGCUUUAAUGGUAGAUCUCUAGGGCUUUAGUCUUAUGCUCUAGAGAUGGAUUUAGUAACCUUCCUAGAUGCUAAUUAGAUGGAUUAUGUUUAGAUCCAAAGUUCUAAUGGUGGGUUUUUGUCUAAUUGCGACCUAGGGCUCCAAAAUGGGGUUUUAGUAAAUCUUAGGUUAUGAUCUAUUUUGAGUGGUCAGAAACCUAAUUGCCAUGUCUCCGAACGCGUAGGAAGCGACGGUUCGUCGAUUCGUCGAGCGGGUGCGACGUUCCGGCUGAAACAAGUGCUAGAAGGUCCGUUUUGGCCCGAGGAGCCGAGGCGACGUGCGAAGACCACGAAGACAAGCUUUCUAACCUUUCGGCAUUACCAAAAGGUGGGGGAGUGCCAUCCCGAAGCAGUCGGGCUACUCUUUAUGUCUAAGUGCUAAGUUGACCUAAUUGCAUAUUGUGAUAUUGCAUUAUAGGGUGCUAAAUGUAAUUGUUACAUAUUCUUGCAUGCUAAUAGAAUAGUGUAGAGUUGAGUUGCUUAACACCUAAAUCUAGUAUGCAUGAGAUUAACGUCAAAUGACUUGAGACCCUAUAAUGAAGUGAUAGUUGAUAGGAAGUGAACCUGCUUAUGUGAAUGAGAAUUUAGUAUGGUAUAACUAAUGUUUGAGAACAACAAACUUGACGAGUGGCAUCUAGUUAACAAACUUGACGAGUGGCAUCUAGUUAAUGUUGAACUUAGGAGAGAACUAGUUCCCAAGUGAUGUUGUCUAGAGUGGUAGGGUAUCCUCAGUGACGGGGAUUUGACCAUACUUAUAUGUCUGUUCAAAGCUUGGUAUGGUCGCUCCACACAAGCAGUGCACUCCGGAGUCGUCACAUGAUAGGGAUAGCCGUUUGGUUCCCGAGGGAUAGCCGUUUGGGUCCCGCAGACAGUCUUGGGCGAGUGAGCUGAUCCUCCCCAGGUGAGUUGGGUGAGUGAGUUGAUCCUCACCCAUGAGUUGAGAUUGGGCUGUCGUACCUAUGUUGAGAGUCGGGCGAGUGAGCGGAUCCUCCCCGUUGUGUUUAGAUUGUGAGUCGGGCGAGUGAGCGGAUCCUCCCCGUUGUGUUUAGAUUGUGAGUCGGGCGAGUGAGCGGAUCCUCCCCGUUGUGUUUAGAGUGCGAGUCGGUGAGUGAGCGGAUCCUCACGUAUGUGACUGAGUAGACUAGCAUAGUAGUAUGAGAUAGGCUACCUAUUAUGUUGCAGUUUAUACAUGUAUUUUUGUUGAAAGCAUAGUAUCAUGAGAUAGGUUGCACAUUAUUAUGUAGUUCAUGCAUUCAUAGCAUUGGAUUGAGGCAUAGUUGGAUAUUAGCAUCGCUUUACAUUAUGCUUUAUCGUUAUUGCUUUCAUAUAUAUCUAUCUAUCUUUCCGUCUUCGUCUUCGUCUUCCUAUGCCUCCUUAGACCUAGUGGGGAGAUUGGCGGAGUCGGCGGCCGAACCCACUGGGAACUAUAUUCAUAUAGUUCUCACCCCGCGUGGUUUGGGGUACAGGUACACACGAGAGAGCUCCGGCCGAGGACCGCGGCAAGGGCUUAGCGCCCUAGUGUUGGUAGUAGUUACUUUCCUACUUGCAUUAGAGCUACCUAUACCUUUUGAGAGUAGAUGAUGUAUAGGUGUGAGGCUAUUUUGGAAAUUGUAAGCUUUAAGUUCAUGAUGUAUUUUGGAAGCUUUAAUUGUAAUUAAAUGUAUCAAAGUUGAAUGGAUGUAAUAGCUAGUUAUUUCUCUCUUUUAUUCACUUGUUCACUACUUGUGAUGCUUGCUCUUUAUAUGUUUGGCACUGGUUGUGCUCUCGCUAUUGUUGGAUUGUGUAUGUUAUCAAGUUGUUGUCCUGGGCACUUGUGUACACAAUCUCGUUGCUUAGCCGUGGGCGGACAGGGGAAGUGCUGUCCGUUCGGCGUCUGUCCGACGCGCCCGAACCGGCCAAAGUGGUAGCGGUUUCGGGGCGUGACAGUUAUGGUAUCAGAGCGAGUUAAGAGCAAGCAAAGAGAGAGUCUAGGACUGACCUAGGAGACCCUAGGACGGUAAACCGUAAGGUUAUAGGUGUGUGAGUGGAACGUGAACUUAUGACAGCGGCGGAAGUUAAUUAAUUGGGUCGAAGUUGGUGUUGAGACUCUAGUAGUUGCUAGAGACGAUUCAAGUAGUACUAGUUCUUGACUUAAGGUGGUUGUGUUGGCGGCCGACAACACGACGCCGAGAGUCAAGGAUGAGUACGCUUGUGAACUUCCGCCUGAUUUGUGUUGUUGAGUCAUUUUAUCGCGUAAUUGCGAGAGGUUGUUGGGUUGAGGUGAUUAACCGAUUUAUUGCGUUUCAGGAGCUAAUGUCCCCGAGACGCUACGCACGUAGAUCCGUUCCGGCACCGCCCCCUGAGGUGCCAAAGCCUCCUGGGGCGCCAGGGCCAGCUGGGCCUAGUGAGGUGCAGGAAUUGCCGGCGCAGGUGACCGCACUAGCUGGUCAAGUUGGGCGGCUCCAGGAUUUGAUGGAGCGGCAGAUAGCAGCAGUGGCUGCGAUGGCGGCUGGAGGUCGUGACCCGCCCGCACCCUCGGCUCGCGUCCCUAAUGCGACUGAGAGUGAGGGUGUUCCAGCGGCGCCGGUGGCGGCGCAACCCCCGCCGGCAAGUGUUCCUCCAGCGGCAUCGAGUUCUGCGACACUCGGUGCGGCGGCCGAGGAGAUACAGCGAGAGCGUGGCUACACGGCUCUCACAAGGUUUACAAAGUUCCACCCGCCUACGUUCGAUGGAGAAGUGAUAGAUCCUUGGACGGUGGAGACAUGGUUGGCCUCGAUGGAGACCCUGUUCGAGGANUCAUAAAAUGAAAAUGCAUGCAUAUUCAUGCUAGAUAGAUUAAUUGUGAAUUUUAGAAUGCUUAAAAUACGCACGUUAUGUAUAAUGCAUUUUCGAACCUCUAUGUAGUAGAGAGCUUGCAUGUGAGACUUGUGCAUGGGUUUAGCAUUCUAAUUGGGACUUGGAAUCAUGCUUCUUGUAGUAGUUAUGACAAAUAUAAUGUGCCUUGGAUAUAAACCUCAUUGGGACUAGGAGAAUAUUUUGGGCCAUAAAGUGGCUUUAGAUUUGAAUAUCUUGUGAGGUAGGAAGCUAAUGUUGUAAUGCGGCGUCGGGCUCGAACUAUGACUGAGCCUAGCAAGUAAUGCCAUAGAGAGGCAUUAGACUCGAGCGAUAUAUAAAUUGCAUGUGCAUGUUAAUAUUAUGGAAAUUAUGUUAAGUUGGUUGUUACAUCGAAAUCAUAUGCUAGUGGAUAGAUGCAUGUUUAUACUUAUACGCAUUGUGGGAUCCAGGCUAGGCACAUAUUAGCAAUGUGAGAUCAUGCUUGGGAGCACCGUGCAUUAACCUAGAACGGGUAUAUUAAGCUAAUGUCAUAAAGAGGCAUUAGGCUUAGGUUUGGUAUAGUAAGCUAAUGUCAUAAAGAGGCAUUAGGCUUGUGAUACGUAUGGACUUAGUCAAGCUAAGGUCACAUGAGACAUUGAAUUAUUGAACGGUUAAACCUUCACUUGAGGCAUAAACUAGACACUAGGGUUACUAGUGUGCAUUUCCAUGUUAGAGACAUGAUGACUGUUGAGUUGCAUUUCCAUGUUGGAGACAUGACGAUUGGACUAUUGAGGUCUUGACCAUGCUUGCUUGCCAUUUGUGCUCAUUCGCACAUGCUUGUGAGGGUUGCUCCCCACAAGCCGGCACUCCGGAGUUAGCCUACGCGACAUAUGCUCGCUCGUGCGGUAUUGAAAAGCCUACGGGGUCGAGUAGGACAGACACAUUCCAAGAGCAGGAAUGUUGGGCUACCACAGGCACUUAGGCGGCACAAGCCGGACUACACCCUUGUAGAUCCUGAAUGAGAUUGAACCAGAAUACUAAACAACAAGUUGACAAUCACUACUAGAUAGGUUAUAGUAGUUGGAUUUUCUUGACAUGCUUGGCGUAGGGUUUGACUUUUGGGAUAUUUAGUGUACUUGACAUUAUCGCUUAUUACAUUGUAGUACACCUUGCUGCCAUGAUAGUACAUACUAGAUAUGUAGUGGGCUCUGGAAUAUAUAUCACACUUUAUAGCAUUACUUGUUACAUCAUGAUACAUUGUUUAAGUUUUGGGCAUAUUGGAUCAUGUAGAGUAGAUGUACUCCAUGUUGACAUUCAGAAUACUUGUGGCAUAGUAGAGUAGCAUUUUAAUUUCAUGCUUCAAUUACUGUUGAUAUUUNNNNNNNNNNNNUGGGUGAUCCAGAUAGGUCCGUAUUCAUAAAGUUCCUUACUUAUCAUUGGUCACGAUUACGUAGAUUAUGAUACGGACGUUUCCUUACAGUCACCUAUAUACAUAAGUAGUUAUAUAUCAUACGUACGUACGAACAAGAAAUGGUAGGGAAACAGAAAGACAUGGGUUAGAAUGGCCAAUUGAUACAAUUGGGGUUAUCGAGUGGUAAGGUAAAGGGUAGAUGGCCCCCUCCGAAAUUCGUGUUGGCGGGCUCCCUAGCAGCUGCCCCAUGAAGGGGCAACCACAGAUGUGAAGCUUCAUGUGGCGAACUCCUCCUCGCUGGAGGAGUUCAGAUUCAGGUGCACUCGGAGCUAGGCUAGGAGAUCAACUCCUAUGUUUCGGUGAUCAAUGUUACGGUGAAGAUAUUAUCCAAAGGAUGGAUAAACAAGUACAGUGAAAGACCAGUAAAAGCAGUUACCGUUAGAACAGAGAUAUCAGUUACAGUGGAAACAAAUGAUACCAGUUCAGGUUCAGAGUGUAAGUGUGUAGAGAGCCCAAGUUAGUAUGUACAGGUAAAGCCAAGAACAAGUUAGUGAUAUAGGUAGAUGUAUUCUUCGUAUUAUAACUUCAAGAUCAGAGAUCAGUGUACAUUCUAAAGGGAUGAUACGUACUUACCGAUAUAUUAUUUUACGAGUUGUUUUCACUUUGUCUGUAUCUUCCCUUAGGUUGCUAAGGCCGCACGUGGGGGGUGGAGAUUAUUAGCACACCCACACCUUACACUGCUGGGGGCUUGAAAUGCUUUCGGCUAAGGCGCGGGAUAUUGGUUUUAUCACGGUAUAAUCCGGAAAACAUGUACUUGAUAUAAUAUUGUAAAAGCAUUACAGUUUGCCUCAACAGGGUGCGCAAAUCCCGUGGGGGUUAAUCCAAAGAUGUGCCAGUUAAGCAGGGGCUUUUUAGGAUCCCGUUUUCGGGGUUAAGGGUUCGGGAUUGUUACGGUAAAUCCCAAAGAGAACCUAACUAGAGUAACAAUUCGUUUUCUACCGAAUCUUAGUAGGUUCUUCGUAGGAUGAUUCCAAAGAUUUGGAAACCUUAGUUGGGAUCCCGAAGAUUGGGUUGAAAGUUCCUAAGUGGUACUCUCGUGGAACUCGAGAGUACACAUGGUACCGUAGGUACCGAGUUUUCUCGGAGAUUUCAGAGAUUCCUCGUGUUUCGAGGUUUGGGAAUUCGGUUUUAGGUUUUGGAUCUCCUUUUGAACGUUCUUGAGUGGAGAUCAGGUUCGAGGUGGUUCUGAGAAGAACAACCUCUCGAGGAUCUUGGAGGUUUUGUGGUUUAGGUGGAAGAAGAGGUUUAAGAAGAAGAAGAAGAGGUUCAAGAUCUCCUCAAGAUCUCUCUCUUUCUCUCUUUUACUCUCUCCUCCUCUCUUUACCGACACCCUCUCUCUCCUACCGGGUAUAUUUCACAACAUUGUUAACGUGAAUUCGGGGAGGUGAAUAAAGGGUACUAGACGGGUCUGACCCGUAAAAAGCGGAAGCCCCUGGCCAGAGGUGCUGGUCCCUGGCCAAGGGCUUGCACCCCAAAAGUCCUGAAUCGGUUUAAAAGCCCAAAAAGUCGACGACGCAUCACUCCCUGUCCAGACGGAGAGGUCCUGGCCAGAGGGCUCCUGGCCAGAGUGGUGGUCCCUGGCCUACGGAGUCCUAAAGGACCGUCCGAUGCGCGUGCCCCUGGCCAGAGAGGAAGUCCCUGGCCAGGGGCUCUCGAGCUUUAGACCCUGAAUCGGUCUAAAAGUCUAAACGAGAGAGCCCAAGGAAAUCGAAGUAAAUACCUGAGAUUACGUGGAUCCCAGGUACGAUUGAGCGAGGUGAGGCCCAAGGUGAGUAAAGCUGCCUUGAGCCGUGCUAAAUGCUCCCUGCACCAUACAAUGUGGCUCGGAGAGGGCCUCACCUUCCGAGACUUUCUUUUGUAUUUUGUCCCCCGCACUCUUGAUAUUUAAUAUCAAGGGUCACCCGUUAAUGACUGGACGUAAGUCGGCGAGGUCGGAUGCCGAACCCACUGGGAACUUCGUUGUAGUUCUCACACCACUAACCCUACAGGUCCAAGCACGAGCGGGGCGGCGGAGGACCGAGGCAACGGUAUAGCGCCGUAGAUAGCGGCCACCGGGACUUUUCCUAUUUUGUAGCCAUUUCCCUUUAAUAUAUGCAUCAACUUUAUUUUGUUGAGUUAGAAAGUUGUAAAGUUGAAAACAAUAUGUAAUUGGUGAAUGGCUAAGUGUAAAGAAUUAUGAACGAAAGCAUGAAAUGUAACAAUUUAGUUUCCUUGUAUUUGGUGCAAAAGCAAUCAAGUAUUAUUUAUGGGUAAAUAUAUUAGCUUAGAGCUUUCGCUUCUGUUGUUGCUUGCCCUCGUGCAAGCCUUGUAUAAAUGCUAAUCUCAUUGUUUGAUUGCUUUACUAUACAUGGUUUAGAGCCUUGGACGGACAGGGGAGGCUCUGUCCGUUCAGCGUCUGUUGACGUGACCCGAACCCGACCAAAUUGGCGGGGAUUGGGGCGUGACACUCGGGAUCGCGGGAAAGGUUUCGCCUCGAGUUAGCUAUCGAGGGACUUGGUGAUAGGUGGUCCACCUCUCUUUUGUUUUCUUUUGUAGAGGUUAUGAGAGUUUUGUACCUGGUUAUAGAGACCACCCUAUUUUUGUAUCUUGAGAUUUAUGAUGUAUCAGUUUACUUUAUGCUUUAGUAGUAUGAUUUUCUUUUGAUUCUACCUGAUGUUAGAACCUAGCUAUAUACUUGCUCUGAUAUCUCUAGUUGCAGAUCUUCUCAUUCUUUAUUCUUCCGCUUUUGUGUAGACGCCUUAUAUGUGUAAACAUAUGGCGGGUCUGGGCGCGCACCGGGCAGGCCUAUGCCGUGUCCCGGGGCGUGACAGAUUAAUUUGGUAUCAGAGCCUAGGGUUGAGUCUUAGUGGACCUAGCGAACCUUAGGCCGGUUGGACUAUAGGAAUUAGACUCGUGAGAGACGAAGGCUAUUUAAUUUAUGAGCGAAAGUAUCAUGAUUGGGUUUCCUUGAUAACUCCAAAAUGUUGGAGUUGAAUCGAAGUGUAUGGCUUCUAACUUCGUGGAGGGUUACGUUGGCGGCCGACGACGUAACAUCAGGAGUUAGUAGUUGGGACACUUCUUUACUUUCGCAUGAUUUGGAGUGUGGUUAUUUGAGCGGGGUUGCGAUAGCGUGGGUUAUAUUAACUUGCGCUUUUAUGAUGUUGUAGUGUUGAUGCCGACUACACGCUCUAAGUCUGUUAGAGCGGAAGAUGCGGCGACUUUUGAGGAAGCGGAGACAUCCGCUACCUCCCGAUCCGGUGAGGUCCGUGAGUUGAGGAGCCAACUUGCCGCCCUCACCGAUUUGGUGACGCAGCAGGCGGCGGCGGCCCAGCAGCAGGCGGACACGGCACGACGGCAGGAGGCACGGAUGCAGCGCCUGGAGGACCUUCUAUUACAGCAGGCAGCUGCUAGGGAGGCUCAGGUCUCGGUACUACCCGCGCCAGUGGAGACAGUUGCACCCGGGGGGGGUCGUCCCCUGUAUUCGACACUUCGCAGACGACACUUACGGUAGCCCAUCGGGAGGAGGUAUUGGCAGCACCACCAGCUCAGUUGCCUGUGGCAGCGGCGACUUUUCCCUUGAUGGUUGAAAGAGCGGAGCGGCAGCGGCUCAUGGAUCGCCUCGAUGAGUUCAGGAGGUGCGAUCCCAGGAUCUUUGAUGGAGAGAAAGCCGACCACCGGAUCGUUGAGAAGUGGUUGAUGCAUGNGGUAUCAGAGCCUAGGGUUGAGUCUUAGUGGACCUAGCGAACCUUAGGCCGGUUGGACUAUAGGAAUUAGACUCGUGAGAGACGAGGUCUAUUUGAUUUAUGAGCGAAAGUAUCAUGAUUGGGUUUCUUUGAUAACUCCAAAAAGGUUGGAGUUCGAUCGAAGUGUAUGGCUUCUAACUUCGCGGAGGGUUACGUUGGCGGCCGACAACGUAACAUCGGGAGUUAGUAGUUGGGACACUUCCUUACUUUCGCAUGAUUUGGGGUAUUAGCAUUUGAGCGGGGUUGCGAUAGCGUGGGUUGUGUUAACUUGCGCUUUCAUGUUGUUGUAGUGUCGAUGCCGACUACACGCUCUAAGUCUGUUGGAGCGGACGAUGCGGCAACUUUUGAGGAAGCGGAGACAUUCGCUACCUCCGGAUCCGGUGAGGUCCGUGAGUUGAGGAGCCAGCUUGCGGCCUGUCACGCCCGGGUACCAGCGGAAGCAUAUCCGGCACGUGCACAGACCCGCCAUACACCUGCAGUAUAUAAGGCGUCUACAAGAAGCAAGUCGAUAGGAAGUAAAACAAGAGAGUCCUAUCCUGAUAUCAGAGCAAAGUACAAGACGAUAUACCACGAGUAUCCAAUCCGAGUCAAUAUACAAAGAGUAUACAAUCCACAAUCUCAGCAAAAAGGAGAAGUAACACCACUACAAUCUCAACCCGAAAGUAAAAAUACAACAGAGGGUAUACAAAAAGAAUAGGCACAACGGUGGUCUCUCUAUACAUAGGGACAUCACCCUCGGCUGAAGUCCGAGUAACAAGGUGAUGACUAGCACGCUCCUAGUAGUCCCUAGCUAGGCGCGACUCCCUUGCCACGAUCCCUAGCCUCUCCUGUAACAGGCUCUGUAAAAACAACCACCAAAAGGGCGUGAGAACUAUAAACAAUAGUUCCCAGUGGGUAAGCCGCCAGCCUCGGCGAAUUACACCACUAGGCUCAUGAUGUACUAAAUGGAAAUAAAAGCAGUAAUUUGCAUGAUAUACUUUCAAUGCUAACAACUAAAGAACAUAUAAUCAUAGUCUCAACAGUAAUGAAUCAACUGAUUAAUAGAAGCAUAGCAACUACUAUAAGCAUGAACAAAAGCAUAAAUGUGUAAGUAACUACUGUACACUGUAACUGGUAAUCAUUCAUUACUGUCCAAUAUCCUUUAGCACUUUCCUUUCAUUCACAGGGAUCUACUCAAGGUAGUCCAGCUUGCGCCGCGCCUAAUGGCCCCGUGGUAGUAUACACUCCCCACGGCAAUCCACUUCGGCACCCAAUCCCGCACGGGCGAGCAACUGUCGCGUAGGCCAACUCCGGAGUGCCGG
This 23430-nucleotide long non-coding RNA is filed under the name Ananas comosus (pineapple). RNAcentral's name for it is "long non-coding RNA (ACOM_LNC021167)". The record is from RNAcentral. Lineage: Eukaryota; Viridiplantae; Streptophyta; Magnoliopsida; Poales; Bromeliaceae.